Molecule: long non-coding RNA, 846 nt
Filed under: Monodelphis domestica (gray short-tailed opossum)
Lineage: Eukaryota; Metazoa; Chordata; Mammalia; Didelphimorphia; Didelphidae
Description: lncRNA (ENSMODG00000033351.2)
Source: RNAcentral
CUGUUUCAUAGUGCCUCCAACAUUACCUCCAAGAUGGAUUGAUUUGUUUCCACUGUUGUAGAAUGGACAGUCCUGGGGAGAGCUACCCUUUUAUGCUGGUCUAUAAAAAAAAAACCUCCAGAAACCUCCUGUGAUACUUUUAUGAUCCUCAGUUAACAGUCUAGCCCUGCCUACAACUCAGAAAAAUGUGGGGAAGCUGGAAUGCAAAGGAGAGAGGGUUUGGCUGAGCUCCUCCUGGAUAAUCAGGAGAUGAUGACUAUAAAGAAUGCAGAAUGCAUAUUAGAUGAUGCAAAGCAGAGGAAGCAGAAAAAGGAAAACCAGAUGCACAGAAUGAAAAUGAAAGAACAACUCCAGUGGAAACAGAAUGCUGUGAUAUUCUGAUCACAGAAAGAUGACCAUUUAGUCACUGGAGCAGGCUUUGGGAGCUGAGGAAGAUCUGGGGGCUGAGAAGGUAGGGAACUAGCAAAUGGCCACCCAGGAUGGAACCAGGGUCAUGCCCUUCUCCCUGCCUUAGACCACCCAGCUUUGUUUGACUGUUUAUCUCUGUUGCAGGCCUUUGGGAGAAGGGGAGAGUCUAGGAAGAAGAAAUUCCAAGUAAAGGUUUCAGAGGCAAAUUUAAGUUGGAUGUCAGGAAACACUUCCUAAUAAUCAGAGGAGGACUUGGGAACUGUAAGGAAUAUUUUCUUUUUGAUUACUAUUUCAAGUAUUACUAUUGCAAUAAUUGGUGUCCUUCAUAAUCUUAUGCAUUUUACUUUAUGCAUUAAAAAAUACAGCAUUCUGAGAAGAGGUCCAUGGUUUCAUUAGACUCCCAAAGGAGUCCAUGACACAGAAAAGGUUAAAAACCCU